AUUGUAAAGUCAGAUGCACUUUUUCACUCCACCACUUCCAUUUUCUGAAAUUACACAAAUAUCCAUUGAGUAUUUAUAAAGACAAAUAUCAAA
Molecule: long non-coding RNA, 93 nt
Organism: Octopus sinensis (East Asian common octopus)
Lineage: Eukaryota; Metazoa; Mollusca; Cephalopoda; Octopoda; Octopodidae
Exons: 3
Source: RefSeq, a predicted model, not a curated record